Non-coding RNA from Pelobates cultripes (western spadefoot toad), 402 nucleotides. The record is from the annotation of a GenBank genome assembly. Lineage: Eukaryota; Metazoa; Chordata; Amphibia; Anura; Pelobatidae.
GGGGUGUAAAGUGUUAGUAACCUGGAGUGGAAGGGGGGUCCGAACCGUGACCAGGGAUGGGGGGCGGGGGACUUUGUGGAGAAAUUAAUAAAAUCACCAGGGAAGGGGUGUCAGUAUAUAGAGAGCGCUUUAAAAUAAUAAUAAUAAUAAAGCUUUGGGUCUCUCUCACACCAUCCUCGGGGCUUCACACGGUAACGGCGGCGGCAGCACCAUCAGCACAGCGCCAGGCUGCCUCUCACUGCCGGCAAACAAAAAUAAAACAUAUAGCGAUCUCCGUGACCGGGAGGGUGAGGCCGGUUAAAGGAACAUCCCGGCAGAGAGCCGCGGCGAGGGCACAGAGCCUCCUUCUCCCGCCGGAAGCGGCGUCUGAGGAGAAACGCGACGCACUGCUUUCCACUUCCG